Molecule: RNase P RNA, 497 nt
Filed under: Roseovarius sp. SCSIO 43702
Lineage: Bacteria; Pseudomonadati; Pseudomonadota; Alphaproteobacteria; Rhodobacterales; Roseobacteraceae
Description: RNase P RNA component class A
Rfam family: Bacterial RNase P class A
About the family: Ribonuclease P (RNase P) is a ubiquitous endoribonuclease, found in archaea, bacteria and eukarya as well as chloroplasts and mitochondria. Its best characterised activity is the generation of mature 5'-ends of tRNAs by cleaving the 5'-leader elements of precursor-tRNAs.
Source: RNAcentral
GCGGAGGGGCGGAUGGCCGCGGCGUGGCAUUUGGUGCCUGAAUUUCGACCGGGGCUGCUGACGUGUUUUUCCUUUGGAAAAGCCACUUUCGCAGCGGAUGCGAAAUUUGGGUUCCCAAAUUUCGCGUCGAGGAAAGUCCGGACUCCACGAGGUAACGGUGCCGGGUAACGCCCGGCCGGGGCAACCCGAGGGAAAGCGCCACAGAGAACAGACCGCUUUGGGCGAAUGCAUCGCGUUCCCCCCGAGCAAGGGUGAAACGGUGGGGUAAGAGCCCACCGCGGGACGGGCAACCGGACCGGCAUGGCAAGCCCCACCGGGAGCAAUGCCGAAUAGGGAUCGCGCGCGGGGGACAUCCCCCGCAGGCCACCUCGGCCCAGCAGAUCCGGGUAGGCAGCUUGAGGCGCGCAGGCAACUGCGCGUCCAGAUGAAUGGUCAUCCCGGGCAUCGUCUUCGGGCGAUGCCUACGACAGAAUCCGGCUUACAGCCCCUCCGCGCAU